Molecule: long non-coding RNA, 234 nt
Organism: Sardina pilchardus (European sardine)
Lineage: Eukaryota; Metazoa; Chordata; Actinopteri; Clupeiformes; Clupeidae
Exons: 3
Source: RefSeq, a predicted model, not a curated record
CACUACAUUUCAUGCAUCCACUGGUAUCAUGGUCUCGGGAGUCAUCAUCUACAUCACUGCUGGUUCUCUCACGGUUAGUGCCAAAAAGAAGCUCAGUCCCUGUUUGGUGAAAGCAUCCCUGGGGAUGAACAUCAUCAGCACAGUAACUGCAGGGAUUGCCAUAUUUAUGCAUAGCAAUGAUUUAGGCAUAAUACGGUAUGGCGAUUCCAGCUAUUCCAGCUUUUCCAGUUAUUC